Molecule: non-coding RNA, 72 nt
Organism: Melanomma pulvis-pyrius CBS 109.77
Lineage: Eukaryota; Fungi; Ascomycota; Dothideomycetes; Pleosporales; Melanommataceae
Source: the annotation of a GenBank genome assembly
GUUUGCUUGGCAUAGUGGUAAGUACGUUAGCUCGUUGCGCCGACAACACGAGUUCGAUUCUCGUAGAGAGAG